GCCCGGACUUGUUUCUCGGGUGGCGAGCGGCGGACGGGUGAGUAAUGCCUGGGAAAUUGCCCUGAUGUGGGGGAUAACCAUUGGAAACGAUGGCUAAUACCGCAUGAUGCCUACGGGCCAAAGAGGGGGACCUUCGGGCCUCUCGCGUCAGGAUAUGCCCAGGUGGGAUUAGCUAGUUGGUGAGGUAAGGGCUCACCAAGGCGACGAUCCCUAGCUGGUCUGAGAGGAUGAUCAGCCACACUGGAACUGAGACACGGUCCAGACUCCUACGGGAGGCAGCAGUGGGGAAUAUUGCACAAUGGGCGCAAGCCUGAUGCAGCCAUGCCGCGUGUGUGAAGAAGGCCUUCGGGUUGUAAAGCACUUUCAGUUGUGAGGAAGGUGGUGUCGUUAAUAGCGGCAUCAUUUGACGUUAGCAACAGAAGAAGCACCGGCUAACUCCGUGCCAGCACCGGCCGGUAAUGA
RNAcentral lists this ribosomal RNA (462 nucleotides) under Vibrio vulnificus. Its description in RNAcentral is "bacterial SSU rRNA". It matches the Rfam family "Bacterial small subunit ribosomal RNA", at positions 72 to 525 of the family's 1533-position model. The record is from RNAcentral. Lineage: Bacteria; Pseudomonadati; Pseudomonadota; Gammaproteobacteria; Vibrionales; Vibrionaceae.